Molecule: ribosomal RNA, 23 nt
Filed under: Ganoderma lucidum
Lineage: Eukaryota; Fungi; Basidiomycota; Agaricomycetes; Polyporales; Polyporaceae
Also listed under: 1 other name
Description: partial 5.8S ribosomal RNA
Source: RNAcentral
CAACUUUCAGCAACGGAUCUCUU